This 513-nucleotide ribosomal RNA is filed under the name uncultured bacterium. RNAcentral's name for it is "bacterial SSU rRNA". It matches the Rfam family "Bacterial small subunit ribosomal RNA", at positions 791 to 1305 of the family's 1533-position model. The record is from RNAcentral.
UAGUCCACGCCGUAAACGAUGGAUACUAGCUGUCCGAGGCCUUGAGUCUUGGGCGGCCAAGCGAAAGUGAUAAGCAUCCCACCUGGGGAGCACGUUCGCAAGAAUGAAACUCAAAGGAAUUGACGGGGGCCCGCACAAGCGGUGGAGCAUGUGGUUUAAUUCGAUGAUACGCGAGGAACCUUACCAGGGCUUAAAUGUACAUUGCAUAGCGUAGAGAUAUGCUUUUCUCGGACUAUGUACAAGGUGCUGCAUGGUUGUCGUCAGCUCGUGCCGUGAGGUAUCAGGUUAAGUCCUAUAGCGAGCGCAACCCCUACCGUUAGUUGCCAGCAUGUAAUGAUGGGGACUCUAACGGGACUGCCGGUGCAAACCGUGAGGAAGGUGGGGACGACGGUCAAAUCAUCACGGCCCUUACGUCCUGGGCCACACACGUGCUACAUGGCCGGUACAGAGGGAAGCCACCGACGUAAGUGGGACGCGGAUCGUAUAAAACCGGUCACAGUUCGGAUCGGGGUA